RNAcentral lists this ribosomal RNA (253 nucleotides) under uncultured bacterium. RNAcentral's name for it is "partial 16S ribosomal RNA". It matches the Rfam family "Bacterial small subunit ribosomal RNA", at positions 524 to 776 of the family's 1533-position model. The record is from RNAcentral.
UACGAAGGGGGCUAGCGUUGUUCGGAAUUACUGGGCGUAAAGCGCACGUAGGCGGAUUAGUAAGUCAGAGGUGAAAUCCCGGAGCUCAACUUCGGAACUGCCUUUGAUACUGGCAAUCUCGAGUCUGGAAGAGGUUGGUGGAACUGCGAGUGUAGAGGUGAAAUUCGUAGAUAUUCGCAAGGACACCAGUGGCGAAGGCGGCCAACUGGUCCAGUACUGACGAUGAGGUGCGAAAGCGUGGGGAGCAAACAGG